Molecule: ribosomal RNA, 190 nt
Filed under: uncultured bacterium
Lineage: Bacteria
Description: partial small subunit ribosomal RNA
Rfam family: Bacterial small subunit ribosomal RNA
Source: RNAcentral
UCCUACGGGAGGCAGCAGUGAGGAAUAUUGGACAAUGGGCGGGAGCCUGAUCCAGCCAUGCCGCGUGCAGGAAGACUGCCCUAUGGGUUGUAAACUGCUUUUUUACGGGAAGAAACACCCCCACGUGUGGGGGCUUGACGGUACCGUGCGAAUAAGGACCGGCUAACUCCGUGCCAGCAGCCGCGGUAAU